CCCCUAGGCGAAGAUGAGCUUGUGUCCUAUGUUCUCACAGGCCUUGACGCAGACUAUACACCGAUUGUCGCCUCCCUCACCUCUCGACGUGAGCCGGUCACCUACAACGAGCUCCUGUCUCAGAUUCAGAGCUUCGAGA
Panicum virgatum (switchgrass) is the source of this 139-nucleotide small nucleolar RNA. RefSeq annotates it as small nucleolar RNA Z247. The record is from RefSeq and is a predicted model, not a curated record. The transcript has a single exon. NCBI's taxonomy places the organism in Eukaryota, Viridiplantae, Streptophyta, Magnoliopsida, Poales, Poaceae.